GAUGAACGCUAGCUCACAGGCUUAACACAUGCAAGUCGAGGGGCACCAGGAAGAAAGCCUCGGCUUUUCUUUCGCGGGCGACCGGCGCACGGGUGAGUAACACGUAUCCAACCUCGCCCUUUACUCGGGGAUAGCCUUCUUCGAAAAGAAAGAAUCAUACCCGAACGGGAUAAUUCAUUCCGCACGGUUUCGAUUCAUUAAAGGAUUUCCGGUAAAGGAUGGGGAUCGCGUUUCCAUUCAGGUUCGUUGGUGAGGUAACGGCUCACCAAGCCUUCGAUGGAUAGGGGUUUCUGAGAGGAAAGGUCCCCCACAUUGGAACUGAGACACGGUCCAAACUCCUACGGGAGGCAGCAGUGAGGAAAUAUUGGUCAAUGGGCGCGAGCCUGAACCAGCCAAGUAGCGUGAAGGAUGACUGCCCUAUGGGUUGUAAACUUCUUUUAUAUUAGAAAUAAAGUGCAGUAUGUAUACUGUUUUGUUAUGUAUAAUAUGAAUAAGGAUCGGCUAACUCCGUGCCAGCAGCCGCGGUAAUACGGAGGAUUCCGAGCGUUAUCCGGAUUUAUUUGGGUUUAAAGGGAGCGUAGGUGGACUGGUAAGUCAGUUGUGAAAUUUUGCGGCUCAACCGUAAAAUUGCAGUUUGAUACUGUCAGUCUUGAGUACAGUAGAGGUGGGCGGAAUUCGUGGUGUAGCGGUGAAAUGCUUAGAUAUCACGAAGAACUCCGAUUGCGAAGGCAGCUCACUGGACUGCAACUGACACUGAUGCUCGAAAGUGUGGGUAUCAAACAGGAUUAGAUACCCUGGUAGUCCACACAGUAAACGAUGAAUACUCGCUGUUUGCGAUAUACAGUAAGCGGCCAAGCGAAAGCAUUAAGUAUUCCACCUGGGGAGUACGCCGGCAACGGUGAAACUCAAAGGAAUUGACGGGGGCCCGCACAAGCGGAGGAACAUGUGGUUUAAUUCGAUGAUACGCGAGGAACCUUACCCGGGCUUAAAUUGCAGUGGAAUGAUGUGGAAACAUGUCAGUGAGCAAUCACCGCUGUGAAGGUGCUGCAUGGUUGUCGUCAGCUCGUGCCGUGAGGUGUCGGCUUAAGUGCCAUAACGAGCGCAACCCUUAUCUUCAGUUACUAACAGGUCAUGCUGAGGACUCUGGAGAGACUGCCGUCGUAAGAUGUGAGGAAGGUGGGGAUGACGUCAAAUCAGCACGGCCCUUACGUCCGGGGCUACACACGUGUUACAAUGGGGGGUACAGAAGGCAGCUACCUGGUGACAGGAUGCUAAUCCCAAAAGCCUCUCUCAGUUCGGAUCGAAGUCUGCAACCCGACUUCGUGAAGCUGGAUUCGCUAGUAAUCGCGCAUCAGCCACGGCGCGGUGAAUACGUUCCCGGGCCU
This 1385-nucleotide ribosomal RNA is filed under the name uncultured bacterium. RNAcentral describes it as "bacterial SSU rRNA". It matches the Rfam family "Bacterial small subunit ribosomal RNA", at positions 28 to 1381 of the family's 1533-position model. The record is from RNAcentral.